CAUGUCUUUUUGAUAAUAAUUUAAGGUUUAAUCUGCUCAAUGAAAGUUAAAUUGCCGCAGUAUUUUGACUGUGCAAAGGUAGCAUAAUAAUUAGCUUCUUAAUUAGAAGCUGGAAUGAAUGAUUGGACAAGAAAAUUUCUGUCUCUAUUUAAUUGUUUAUUGAAUUUUAUUUUUAAGUUAAAAAGCUUAAAUUUAUAUAAAAGACGAGAAGACCCUAUAGAGUUUAAUAUUUAAGUUUUAUUUAAUUUUAGGAUUGUUUUUGGAAUUUUGAUAUUUAAUUGGGGUGAUUUAAAGAUUAAUAAAAUUCUUUAAUUUUUUUAUUGAUGAUAGUUAAAUAAUAAAUCUAUAUUUUUAAAUUUAAAAUAAAUUACCUUAGGGAUAACAGCGUAAUUUUUCUUUAAAGCUCUUAUUAAAAGAAGAUUUUGCGACCUCGAUGUUGGAUUAAAAUUAAUUUUUGGUGCAGUAACUUAAAAAUUAGGUCUGUUCGACCUUUGAAAUUUUACAUGAUCUGAGUUUAAACCGGCGUAAGCCAGGUUGGAUUCUAUCUUUAGAUAAAUUGAAUAUUUUAGUACGAAAGGACCAAAUAUUUGUUAAAUUA
RNAcentral lists this ribosomal RNA (598 nucleotides) under Lycus sp. UPOL LF0035. RNAcentral's name for it is "partial 16S large subunit ribosomal RNA". It matches the Rfam family "Bacterial large subunit ribosomal RNA", at positions 1822 to 2710 of the family's 2925-position model. Lineage: Eukaryota; Metazoa; Arthropoda; Insecta; Coleoptera; Lycidae. The record is from RNAcentral.